RNAcentral lists this ribosomal RNA (902 nucleotides) under Hebeloma vinosophyllum. Its description in RNAcentral is "LSU rRNA". It matches the Rfam family "Eukaryotic large subunit ribosomal RNA", at positions 74 to 961 of the family's 3401-position model. Lineage: Eukaryota; Fungi; Basidiomycota; Agaricomycetes; Agaricales; Hymenogastraceae. The record is from RNAcentral.
AUUCCCCUAGUAACUGCGAGUGAAGCGGGAAAAGCUCAAAUUUAAAAUCUGGCGGUCUCCGGCCGUCCGAGUUGUAAUCUAGAGAAGUGUUAUCUGCGCUGGACCGUGUACAAGUCUCCUGGAAUGGAGCAUCAUAGAGGGUGAGAAUCCCGUCUUUGACACGGACUGCCAGGGCUUUGUGAUGCGCUCUCAAAGAGUCGAGUUGUUUGGGAAUGCAGCUCAAAAUGGGUGGUAAAUUCCAUCUAAAGCUAAAUAUUGGCGAGAGACCGAUAGCGAACAAGUACCGUGAGGGAAAGAUGAAAAGAACUUUGGAAAGAGAGUUAAACAGUACGUGAAAUUGCUGAAAGGGAAACGCUUGAAGUCAGUCGCGUUGGCCGGGGAUCAACCUUGCUUUUGCUGGGCGUACUUUCCGGUCGACGGGUCAGCAUCAAUUUUGACCGUUGGAUAAAGUCCAGGGGAAUGUGGCAUCUUCGGAUGUGUUAUAGCCCUUGGUCGCAUACAACGGUUGGGAUUGAGGAACUCAGCACGCCGCAAGGCCGGGUACUUGUACCACGUUCGUGCUUAGGAUGCUGGCAUAAUGGCUUUAAUCGACCCGUCUUGAAACACGGACCAAGGAGUCUAACAUGCCUGCGAGUGUUUGGGUGGAAAACUCGGACGCGUAAUGAAAGUGAAAGUUGAGAUCCCUGUCGCGGGGAGCAUCGACGCCCGGACCAGACCUUUUGUGACGGAUCCGCGGUAGAGCAUGUAUGUUGGGACCCGAAAGAUGGUGAACUAUGCCUGAAUAGGGUGAAGCCAGAGGAAACUCUGGUGGAGGCUCGUAGCGAUUCUGACGUGCAAAUCGAUCGUCAAAUUUGGGUAUAGGGGCGAAAGACUAAUCGAACCAUCUAGUAGCUGGUUCCUGC